UGUCCUACGGGAGGCAGCAGUGAGGAAUAUUGGUCAAUGGCCGGGAGACUGAACCAGCCAAGCCGCGUGAGGGAUGACGGUACAAUGGAUUGUAAACCUCUUUUGUCAGGGAGCAAAGGGCGCCACGUGUGCCGGGUUGCGAGUACCUGAAGAAAAAGCAUCGGCUAACUCCGUGCCAGCAGCCGCGGUAAUACGGAGGAUGCGAGCGUUAUCCGGAUUUAUUGGGUUUAAAGGGUGCGCAGGCGGAAUGUUAAGUCAGCGGUAAAAGUUCGGGGCUCAACCCCGGCGUGCCGUUGAAACUGGCG
RNAcentral lists this ribosomal RNA (305 nucleotides) under uncultured bacterium. RNAcentral's name for it is "bacterial SSU rRNA". It matches the Rfam family "Bacterial small subunit ribosomal RNA", at positions 335 to 638 of the family's 1533-position model. The record is from RNAcentral.